Molecule: long non-coding RNA, 1438 nt
Filed under: Coturnix japonica (Japanese quail)
Lineage: Eukaryota; Metazoa; Chordata; Aves; Galliformes; Phasianidae
Description: lncRNA (ENSCJPG00005005925.1)
Source: RNAcentral
AGGGUGUUGUUUGGGGUGUUGGGGUGUUCCUAUGGGUGCUGGGGUGUUCCUAUGGGUGUUGGGGUGUUCCUAUGGGUGCUGGGGUGUUGUUUGGGGUGCUGGGGUGUUCCUAUGGGUGCUCAGGGUGUUAUUGGGGUGCUGAGGUGUUCCUAUGGGUGCUCAGGGUGUUGUUGGGGGUGCCGGGGUGUUCCUAUGGGUGUUGGGGUGUUCCUAUGGGUGCUCAGGGUGUUAUUGGGGUGCUGAGGUGUUCCUAUGGGUGCUGGGGGGGUUGUUUGGGGUGCUGGGGUGUUCCUAUGGGUGUUGGGGUGUUCCUAUGGGUGCUCAGGGUGUUAUUGGGGGUGCUGGGGUGUUCCUAUGGGUGCUCAGGGUGAUGUUUGGGGUGCUGGGUGUUCCUAUGGGUGCUGGGUGUUCCUAUGGGUGCUGGGUGUUCCUAUGGGUGCUGGGUGUUCCUAUGGGUGCUGGGUGUUCCUAUGGGUGCUGGUUGUUCCUAUGGGUGCUGGGUUGUUCCUAUGGGUGUUGGGGUGUUCCUAUGGGUGCUGGGGUGUUCCUAUGGGUGCUCAGGGUGUUAUUGGGAUGCUGGGGUGUUCCUAUGGGUGUUGGGGUGUUCCUAUGGGUGCUGGGUGUUGUUUGGGGUGCUGGGUGUUCCUAUGGGUGCUGGGUGUUGUUGGGGCCUGCUGGGUGUUGUUGUGGGUGUUGGGGCCUUGUUGCUUGGGCUGUUGCUAUGGGUGUUGGGCUGUUCCUAUGGGUGUUGCGCUGUUCCUAUGGGUGCUGGGGUGUUGUUGGGGGUGUUGGGGUAUUCCUAUGGGUGCUCAGGGUGUUAUUUGGGGUGCUGGGGUGUUCCUAUGGGUAUUGGGGUGUUCCUAUGGGUCCUCAGGGUGUUGCUAUGGGUGCUGGGCUGUUGUUCGGGGUGUUGGGGUGUUAUUUGGGGUGCUGGGUGUUCCUAUGGGUGCUGGGCUGUUGGUGGGGCCUGGUGGGUGUUGUUGUGGGUGUCGGGGCCUUGUUGCUUGGGCUGUUGCUAUGGGUGUUGGGCUGUUCCUAUGGGUGCUGGGCUGUUGUUUGGGGUGCUGGGCUGUUCCUAUGGGUGCUGGGUGUUCCUAUGGGUGCUGUUGGGUGUUGUUGGGGCCUGCUGGGUGUUGUUGUGGGUGUCGGGGCCUUGUUGCUUGGGCUGUUGCUAUGGGUGUUGGGCUGUUCUUUGGGGUGCUGGGGUGUUCGUAUGGGUGUUGGGGUGUGGUUGGGGUGUUGGGGUGUUGUUUGGGGUGUUGCUAUGGGUGCUGGGGGGGUUGAUAGGGGUGCUGGGGUGUUCCUAUGGGUGCUGGGGUGUUGUUGGGGGUAUUGGGUGCUGUUGUUGGGGGGUGUUGGGUGUUGUUGGGGUGUUGUUGUUAUGGGUAUUGUUGCUAUGGGUACUGGGCUGUUGUUAGGGGUUCUGGGGUGUUGUUGC